RNAcentral lists this small RNA (556 nucleotides) under Pongo abelii (Sumatran orangutan). Its description in RNAcentral is "processed transcript". Lineage: Eukaryota; Metazoa; Chordata; Mammalia; Primates; Hominidae. The record is from RNAcentral.
CUCUUUCGGCCGCGCUGGUGAACAGCCCAGCUCAACAUUGGCAAUGUGCUCCCUGUGGGCACCAUGCCUGAGGGUACAAUCGUGUGCUGCCUGGAGGAGAAGCCUGGAGACCGUGGCAAGCUGGCCCGGGCAUCAGGGAACUAUGCCACCGUUAUCUCCCACAACCCUGAGACCAAGAAGACCCGUGUGAAGCUGCCCUCCGGCUCCAAGAAGGUUAUCUCCUCAGCCAACAGAGCUGUGGUUGGUGUGGUGGCUGGAGGUGGCCGAAUUGACAAACCCAUCUUGAAGGCUGGCCGGGCGUACCACAAAUAUAAGGCAAAGAGAAACUGCUGGCCACGAGUGCGGGGUGUGGCCAUGAAUCCUGUGGAGCAUCCUUUUGGAGGUGGCAACCACCAGCACAUCGGCAAGCCCUCCACCAUCCGCAGAGAUGCCCCUGCUGGCCGCAAAGUGGGUCUCAUUGCUGCCCGCCGGACUGGACGUCUCCGGGGAACCAAGACUGUGCAGGAGAAAGAGAACUAGUGCUGAGGGCCUCAAUAAAGUUUGUGUUUAUGCCACC